This is a long non-coding RNA of Cololabis saira (Pacific saury), 447 nucleotides long. RefSeq lists it as uncharacterized. The record is from RefSeq and is a predicted model, not a curated record. NCBI's taxonomy places the organism in Eukaryota, Metazoa, Chordata, Actinopteri, Beloniformes, Belonidae. The transcript is spliced from 4 exons.
UUGAAGGCAGAGACGAACAUUUUACAUUCUGUCUCAGAAGACAAAGGUGCAACCCAACCCUCCACUGUACAGCUCUCAGGACCAGAGCCUGUCUUCUCCAGACUACAAGAUGAGAACUGCAGUAUGUGCCAUCCUUCUCCUGAUGCUUCUGUGUCAAGGAGAAGCUCUGAGAUGCAACCGCUGCUGGGCGGGUGGGAGCAGAACGUGCACGCCCACAUGGCCACAAACCUGUUGGGGAAAAGAUGAUGUAUGUGCUCUCGUCAAAUUCAGAUCAAGUAUGGUUCGUGAAUGCAUGCACAGGUGGGUGUGUGAGGGAUAUAAGGCAUCACCUGGCAUAUCUGCAAGAUGCUGCAGCACCGACCUCUGCAACUGAGCCUCUUCAUCCCCGGCUGGACCAUCAUCUCUGAUCUAUGGAAGCUUCUCUGUUGGAUCCACUCUGUUGCAUUC